UACGGAGGGGGCGAGCGUUGUUCGGAAUCAUUGGGCGUAAAGGGUGCGUAGGCGGUCGCGCAAGUCGGAUGUGAAAUCUCAGGGCUCAACCCUGAAACUGCAUUCGAUACUGCGUGGCUAGAGUGCUGGAGGGGAGACUGGAAUUUACGGUGUAGCAGUGAAAUGCGUAGAUAUCGUAAGGAAGACCAGUGGCGAAGGCGAGUCUCUGGACAGCAACUGACGCUGAGGCACGAAGGCCAGGGGAGCAAACGGG
RNAcentral lists this ribosomal RNA (253 nucleotides) under uncultured prokaryote. Its description in RNAcentral is "partial 16S ribosomal RNA". It matches the Rfam family "Bacterial small subunit ribosomal RNA", at positions 524 to 776 of the family's 1533-position model. The record is from RNAcentral.